UGAGGAAUAUUGGUCAAUGGGCGAGAGCCUGAACCAGCCAAGUCGCGUGAAGGAAGAAGGUUCUAUGGAUUGUAAACUUCUUUUGUAAGGGAAUAAAAAGAGUUACGUGUAACUUAUUGUAUGUACUUUACGAAUAAGGAUCGGCUAACUCCGUGCCAGCAGCCGCGGUAAUACGGAGGAUCCAAGCGUUAUCCGGAUUUAUUGGGUUUAAAGGGUGCGUAGGCGGUUUGAUAAGUCAGUGGUGAAAGUUUGCAGCUCAACUGUAAAAUUGCCAUUGAAACUGUCGAACUUGAGUGCAAAUGAGGUAGGCGGAAUGUGUUGUGUAGCGGUGAAAUGCUUAGAUACAACACAGAACACCAAUUGCGAAGGCAGCUUACUGGAAUGCAACUGACGCUGAGGC
RNAcentral lists this ribosomal RNA (400 nucleotides) under uncultured bacterium. Its description in RNAcentral is "bacterial SSU rRNA". It matches the Rfam family "Bacterial small subunit ribosomal RNA", at positions 355 to 752 of the family's 1533-position model. The record is from RNAcentral.